This is a long non-coding RNA of Oncorhynchus masou masou (cherry salmon), 593 nucleotides long. RefSeq lists it as uncharacterized. The record is from RefSeq and is a predicted model, not a curated record. The transcript has 3 exons. NCBI's taxonomy places the organism in Eukaryota, Metazoa, Chordata, Actinopteri, Salmoniformes, Salmonidae.
UAUCUACUCAGAGCGCGGGUCACUACACAGCCUAGUCUUCUUUUCUCACACUCGCAUCGUUGUUGCCGUGGUGCAGCGAGGACACAAUACUUGCGGGGGGAGUGGAAUUGGACUUAAGGGAGAGACAGACCAACAGAGGGUGAUGGUCGCUCAAGACUUGAACUUGAACUUCAUCUUAAAAUUGGCGUCCAUGUCAAAUCGACGUUCAUCUUCUUUUUUCCAUAAGAAAUAUACAUUUUCUGUGAUUCAAUGACAAACUACAAGGAGAUAUGAGGAAAAUACAGAUGUUUGAAGACAAGCAAUUAAACAUGCACAAUUGAGAGCAUCCUGUUGGCCUGUAUCACCGCCUGGUACGACAACUGCACCUCCCACAACCGCAAGGGUCUCCAGAGGGUUGUGAGGUCUGCGCAACGCAUCGCCGGGGGCAAACUACCUGCCCCCCAGGACACCUACAGCACCCAAUGUCACAGGAACACCAAAAAGAUGAUCAAGGACAACAACCACCCGAGCCACUGCCUGUUCACCCCACAACCAUCCAGAAGGCGAGCACAACAGAGGCCUUUUAUGGAGAUAGACCAGACCACAAGGAAGAC